RNAcentral lists this ribosomal RNA (1516 nucleotides) under uncultured prokaryote. RNAcentral's name for it is "partial 16S ribosomal RNA". It matches the Rfam family "Bacterial small subunit ribosomal RNA". The record is from RNAcentral.
UGAGUUUGAUCCUGGCUCAGAUUGAACGCUGGCGGCAGGCUUAACACAUGCAAGUCGAGCGGAAACGAUGGAGCUUGCUCCAGGCGUCGAGCGGCGGACGGGUGAGUAACGCGUAGGAAUCUGCCCAGUAGAGGGGGAUAGCCCGGGGAAACCCGGAUUAAUACCGCAUACGCCCUAAGGGGGAAAGCAGGGGAUCUUCGGACCUUGCGCUAUUGGAUGAGCCUGCGUUGGAUUAGCUAGUUGGUGGGGUAAAGGCCUACCAAGGCGACGAUCCAUAGCUGGUCUGAGAGGAUGAUCAGCCACACUGGCACUGAAACACGGGCCAGACUCCUACGGGAGGCAGCAGUGAGGAAUAUUGCACAAUGGGCGCAAGCCUGAUGCAGCCAUGCCGCGUGUGUGAAGAAGGCCUUAGGGUUGUAAAGCACUUUCAGUAGGGAGGAAUAGGAUUGGGUUAAUAACCUAGUUUAAUGACGUUACCUACAGAAGAAGUACCGGCUAACUCCGUGCCAGCAGCCGCGGUAAUACGGAGGGUACAAACGUUAAUCGGAAUUACUGGGCGUAAAGCGCGCGUAGGUGGUUUGUUAAGUGGGAUGUGAAAGCCCAGGGCUUAACCUUGGAACUGCAUUCCAAACUGACAAACUAGAGUAGGAUAGAGGGGGGUAGAAUUUCAGGUGUAGCGGUGAAAUGCGUAGAGAUCUGAAGGAAUACCGGUGGCGAAGGCGGCCCCCUGGAUUGAUACUGACACUGAGGUGCGAAAGCGUGGGUAGCAAACAGGAUUAGAUACCCUGGUAGUCCACGCCGUAAACGAUGUCUACUAGCCGUUGGAAUCCUUAGAGGUUUUAGUGGCGCAGCUAACGCAAUAAGUAGACCGCCUGGGGAGUACGGCCGCAAGGCUAAAACUCAAAUGAAUUGACGGGGGCCCGCACAAGCGGUGGAGCAUGUGGUUUAAUUCGACGCAAUGCGAAGAACCUUACCUACUCUUGACAUCCUCGGAACUUAGCAGAGAUGCUUUGGUGCCUUCGGGAACCGAGUGACAGGUGCUGUAUGGCUGUCGUCAGCUCGUGUCGUGAGAUGUUGGGUUAAGUCCCGUAACGAGCGCAACCCUUGUCCCUAUUUGCCAUCAUUUAGUUGGGCACUCUAGGGAGACUGCCGGUGACAAACCGGAGGAAGGUGGGGACGACGUCAAGUCAUCAUGGCCCUUACGACCAGGGCUACACACGUGCUACAAUGGGAUGUACAGAGGGUUGCAACCCCGCGAGGGUAAGCUAAUCCCAUAAAACAUCUCGUAGUCCGGAUUGCAGUCUGCAACUCGACUGCAUGAAGUCGGAAUCGCUAGUAAUCGCGAAUCAGAAUGUCGCGGUGAAUACGUUCCCGGGCCUUGUACACACCGCCCGUCACACCAUGGGAGUGGAUUGCAAAAGAAGUGGGUAGUCUAACUUCGGAGGACGCUCACCACUUUGUGAUUCAUGACUGGGGUGAAGUCGUAACAAGGUAGCCGUAGGGGAACCUGCGGCUG